CCUACGGGUGGCAGCAGUGAGGAAUAUUGGUCAAUGGGCUUACGCCUGAACCAGCCAAGUCGCGUGAGGGAAGACUGCCCUAUGGGUUGUAAACCUCUUUUGUCAGGGAGCAACGCCGGCUACGGGUAGCCGGACUGAGAGUACCUGAAGAAAAAGCAUCGGCUAACUCCGUGCCAGCAGCCGCGGUAAUACGGAGGAUGCGAGCGUUAUUCGGAUUUAUGGGGUUUAGAGGGUGCGUAGGCGGAAUGCCGAGUCCGCGGUAAAACCGUGGGGCUCAAGCCCAUCCAGCCGUUGAUACUGGGGAUCUAGAGUGUGCGAGCGGUAUGCGGAAUGCGUGGUGUAGCGGUGAAAUGCAUAGAUAUCACGCAGAACCCCGAUUGCGAAGGCAGCAUACCGGUGCACAACUGACGCUCAGGCACGAAAGCGUGGGUAUCGAACAGGAUUAGAUACCCUGGUAGUC
RNAcentral lists this ribosomal RNA (460 nucleotides) under uncultured bacterium. Its description in RNAcentral is "partial 16S ribosomal RNA". It matches the Rfam family "Bacterial small subunit ribosomal RNA", at positions 338 to 795 of the family's 1533-position model. The record is from RNAcentral.